GCUAUACAUGCAGUCGAGCGAACAGAUAAGGAGCUUGCUCCUUUGACGUUAGCGGCGGACGGGUGAGUAACACGUGGAUAACCUACCUAUAAGACUGGGAUAACUUCGGGAAACCGGAGCUAAUACCGGAUAACAUAUUGAACCGCAUGGUUCAAUAGUGAAAGGCGGCUUUGCUGUCACUUAUAGAUGGAUCCGCGCCGUAUUAGCUAGUUGGUAAGGUAACGGCUUACCAAGGCAACGAUACGUAGCCGACCUGAGAGGGUGAUCGGCCACACUGGAACUGAGACACGGUCCAGACUCCUACGGGAGGCAGCAGUAGGGAAUCUUCCGCAAUGGGCGAAAGCCUGACGGAGCAACGCCGCGUGAGUGAUGAAGGUCUUCGGAUCGUAAAACUCUGUUAUCAGGGAAGAACAAAUGUGUAAGUAACUGUGCACAUCUUGACGGUACCUGAUCAGAAAGCCACGGCUAACUACGUGCCAGCAGCCGCGGUAAUACGUAGGUGGCAAGCGUUAUCCGGAAUUAUUGGGCGUAAAGCGCGCGUAGGCGGUUUUUUAAGUCUGAUGUGAAAGCCCACGGCUCAACCGUGGAGGGUCAUUGGAAACUGGAAAACUUGAGUGCAGAAGAGGAAAGUGGAAUUCCAUGUGUAGCGGGUGAAAUGCGCAGAGAUAUGGAGGAACACCAGUGGCGAAGGCGACUUUCUGGUCUGUAACUGACGCUGAUGUGCGAAAGCGUGGGGAUCAAACAGGAUUAGAUACCCUGGUAGUCCACGCCGUAAACGAUGAGUGCUAAGUGUUAGGGGGUUUCCGCCCCUUAGUGCUGCAGCUAACGCAUUAAGCACUCCGCCUGGGGGAGUACGACCGCAAGGUUGAACUCAANGAAUUGACGGGACCCGCACAAGCGGUGGAGCAUGUGGUUUAAUUCGAGCAACGCGACGA
Molecule: ribosomal RNA, 935 nt
Filed under: Staphylococcus pasteuri
Lineage: Bacteria; Bacillati; Bacillota; Bacilli; Caryophanales; Staphylococcaceae
Description: bacterial SSU rRNA
Rfam family: Bacterial small subunit ribosomal RNA
Source: RNAcentral